RNAcentral lists this long non-coding RNA (719 nucleotides) under Homo sapiens (human). RNAcentral's name for it is "non-protein coding lnc-KIAA1147-3:3". Lineage: Eukaryota; Metazoa; Chordata; Mammalia; Primates; Hominidae. The record is from RNAcentral.
GGGCAGGAGAAUACCACAUGGAGACACAGACACACGAGGGGAGGAUGCCUGCUGACCAUGGAGGCAGAAGUGGGACUGACGCAUCGAUCAGCUGAGGGAUGCCAAGCACUGCCAGCAAACACCAGAGGCUUGAUGGGGGCGAGUAUUCUCCUGUGCAGGUAUCAGAGGGAGCCUGGCCUUGCAGAUACCUUGAUUCCUGACUUCUGGCCUCUAAAAUGUCCAAUGUGAGUCAGGCAUCUCUCCUGGUGGCUGUCUUCCAUGUGGUGACUUAUGUAUCCAGGAUCCUUCUACUGUGUUUCUCCUCCAUUGCGAAGUCCUUCACUUCCAGCACCUGAGACAUUUUUUGGGUAUAUCUACAAGUGGCAUAUAUCACUUCUGCCCACAUUCACCUGGGUAGAACUCAAUCACAUUGUUUCACCUAACUGCAAGUGAGGCUGUGGAAUAUAGUCUCCCUAUGUGCCCAAGCAGAAGAAACAGGAUUGGUGAGCAUCUAGCCCAUCUCUACCACUAACAGUUUAUCCCCCCUAAUAAAUCAAUACACUGAUGAUCUAGUUUUGUCUUUGUUCUCUUGCGAAUGUUAUAGUGUGACUCUACAAUGUGUGAUUGCUCCUGGUGAAUCAAAAGGAUAAAGCUGCUGAUUCUGCAAUUUGAUAACCCAACCAUGCUGACCUCAAAGUGUAGUCAAUCCAUGAAGUUCCUCCCACCACAGCUCAUCCUGA